This 210-nucleotide ribosomal RNA is filed under the name uncultured bacterium. RNAcentral describes it as "partial 16S ribosomal RNA". It matches the Rfam family "Bacterial small subunit ribosomal RNA", at positions 524 to 734 of the family's 1533-position model. The record is from RNAcentral.
UACGUAAGGUCCGAGCGCUGUCCGGAAUAAUCGGGCUUAAAGGGUACGUAGGCGGAUAAGCAAGUUAGAAGUGAAAUCCUAUAGCUCAACUAUAGUAAGCGUUUAAAACUGCUCAUCUUGAGGUCUGGAAGGGAAAGUGGAAUUCCUAGUGUAGCGGUGAAAUGCGCAGAUAUUAGGAGGAAUACCGGUGGCGAAGGCGACUUGCUGGCC